RNAcentral lists this ribosomal RNA (371 nucleotides) under uncultured organism. Its description in RNAcentral is "partial 16S ribosomal RNA". It matches the Rfam family "Bacterial small subunit ribosomal RNA", at positions 527 to 896 of the family's 1533-position model. The record is from RNAcentral.
AGAGGGUGCGAGCGUUAAUCGGAAUGACUGGGCGUAAAGGGCACGUAGGUGGUUGGACAAGUCAUAUGUGAAAGACCUGGGCUUAACCUAGGAAGUGCAUGUGAUACUAUUCGACUGGAGUACAGUAGAGGGAAGUGGAAUUUCCGGUGUAGCGGUGAAAUGCGUAGAUAUCGGAAGGAACACCAGUGGCGAAGGCGGCUUUCUGGACUGAUACUGACACUGAGGUGCGAAAGCGUGGGGUAGCAAACAGGAUUAGAUACCCUGGUAGUCCACGCUGUAAACGCUGAGAACUAGAUGUUGGCGAGCAUAGACUCGCGAGUGUCGUAGCUAACGCGCUAAGUUCUCCGCCUGGGAGUACGGCCGCAAGGCUA